Corythoichthys intestinalis (scribbled pipefish) is the source of this 1290-nucleotide long non-coding RNA. RefSeq lists it as uncharacterized. The record is from RefSeq and is a predicted model, not a curated record. Lineage: Eukaryota; Metazoa; Chordata; Actinopteri; Syngnathiformes; Syngnathidae. The transcript has 3 exons.
ACUCCUUUAGAUUUGUUUUAAACAUGGUCUGGUUAGGAGUGGGGGCACACAAAAUCCACGGUUAGUGAAAAGGCAAGUCUCAAACAAUUUCAAGGUGACAUGAACUCCGAUGCACCUGAAAGUAAUUGCUGAAGGAUGCCAGCACGAUGCGGUGACAGGGAAACUCCUGUCCACCGCAACACAGCGUGACAUCACAAAAGGAGUUAUCGAGCCUCAAGGCGUUGAGACCCUGCAGGACCGUGUUGGGGUGCCGGGCUUCCACAAACAGGAAGUCUUCUCCACCCGGUGACGCAGAGAGACUGCUGGCCUCCUCCUGGAUGUUGGCAGCCACAAACUCAGACAUUUCCGACGCUGGCAAGGAAAAAUUCGAGUCAAAACAAGUAGAGAAGAAAAGCUCAACGUCUUCGUCUGAGCAGAGCGUAAGCGCCUCCAGGUCCAGGUGCUCUCUGGUGAAUGCCAGAGCAAACUCGGACAAGGAGAUAGACGCCAAGAAGCCGUCCAGAGGAGACGUUUCCUCCUCGUCGUCAUCCAGGCCCAGAUCUUCUUGCUCCCACGGGACGUCGGCAUUCUCCACUAAACCGGAGAGGUCUUCUUCUGUCUCCAGAGUUUGGUUCUGAACAAGGUAGCCGAGGUUUUCGUUGUUCCUGCUCAAGACCUCCUCCGUCUCCAGGCUCAUCCGUUUCAUGAAGGCUCCUUUCAUCCUGCUCGUUGAAAACAUCCAAAAACUCCGGAUUCCCAGACGCCGCGUCCUCUUGCUUGAGGAAAAUGACGUUCCCAUCGGCAGCAGAUUUCUGCAGAGUUCCCUUAUCUUUCUUCCCGAGCUUCAUCUGCAGCGUGCCUUUAACCCUAGCGGUCAAUGAGCCAGAUUUUUCAGAGGCGAUGAGCUUGGAGAACUGCUCGUUGACGCUGCUCACAGUGCUGGCGCCAGACAAAACUGACAAAUCGCCAGCCUCCGAAGCAGAUCCGGCUGUAUCCGGCCCGCGGUACAUCUUAUCCAUCUUGCUUUGGUGUCGCUUCUUCACCUUCUCGCAAAGUUUCACUCGUUUCUCCGCUUCUUUUCCGGCCUCUUUCUUUAACCUGGCCACCUUCUUGGGAUUCUGGUUUGUCUGCUGAGAUGCGGCGGCGUCCAAGAACCGCACGCAGUCCAUGCGGUCCCGCGAGGCGGCCACGUCCAUGGCCGUGUGCAGCUCAUUGUCCAGCGCAAACAGGUUGGCGUCAAAGCUGACCAGAAAGCUGAGGAUGUGCAUGUGACCAUUGGCGGCGGCGUGGUGCAGCGGAGUGUUUCCCCAA